GACGAACGCUGGCGGCGUGCUUAACACAUGCCAGUCGAACGGAAAGGCCCUGCUUUUGUGGGGUGCUCGAGUGGCGAACGGGUGAGUAACACGUGAGUAACCUGCCCUUGACUUUGGGAUAACUUCAGGAAACUGGGGCUAAUACCGGAUAGGAGCUCCUGCUGCAUGGUGGGGGUUGGAAAGUUUCGGCGGUUGGGGAUGGACUCGCGGCUUAUCAGCUUGUUGGUGAGGUAGUGGCUUACCAAGGCUUUGACGAGUAGCCGGCCUGAGAGGGUGACCGGCCACAUUGGGACUGAGAUACGGCCCAGACUCCUACGGGAGGCAGCAGUGGGGAAUAUUGCACAAUGGGCGGAAGCCUGAUGCAGCAACGCCGCGUGCGGGAUGACGGCCUUCGGGUUGUAAACCGCUUUCGCCUGUGACGAAGCGUGAGUGACGGUAAUGGGUAAAGAAGCACCGGCUAACUACGUG
RNAcentral lists this ribosomal RNA (468 nucleotides) under uncultured bacterium. RNAcentral describes it as "partial 16S ribosomal RNA". It matches the Rfam family "Bacterial small subunit ribosomal RNA", at positions 28 to 507 of the family's 1533-position model. The record is from RNAcentral.